Anas platyrhynchos (mallard) is the source of this 278-nucleotide non-coding RNA. The record is from RefSeq and is a predicted model, not a curated record. NCBI's taxonomy places the organism in Eukaryota, Metazoa, Chordata, Aves, Anseriformes, Anatidae.
CCUCCCUGUCCUCAAAUGUCUUUUACUCCUCAAAGUGCCAACUUUUUACUUUACUCCUUAAAUUAUGAAUUUUUUUAAGUGAGAAGGACUGAAUAUCACAUCCAGCUGAAGGCAAAAUCACACGAAAGAAAGGAUAAGGGAUUUUGUGAAUUCAGCCUGAGCCCUUGAGCCUUGCCCUUUGCUGGACUUGGAUGGAGAACACAUAUAGACCAGCUCACCUGGAGUAAUUCCCUUCUGCAGCAGGAUGCCUACGCCCUGACCAGGGAUGGGAAAAAAAA